AUUACUUUUUAUCUUAUAACAAUUUUUUUAAACAAAACAAUUUAAUUAUACUAUUUUAAAAUUAAAAUUUAUAGUACCGAAACGGAAACCUAAAAUAUAUUACAGUAGUGUAUAACCACGUACCUUGUGCAUUAUGGUUUUACAAGCUAAAAAUUAAAUAUAUACUCCCGAAUUCUAUGCGAGCUGCCUCCAUAUAGCUAAGAGCCCACUAAUAGCUGUAGCAUCAGCUUUAAAAAAUAUGAAAGCAGGGGCUACAUACCACCCGCGCUGGAAAAUUGCUGGUUCUCAGUAAAAUUUAUUUAUUAAUACAUGCAGUUUAUAAUUGCAGUGUAAGACUUCAGAGGAUAAGCCCUGUAUUCUGUAGCUAAUUUACGUCAUGUAAUCUAUAUAUAGGCCUAAUAUCAGCCAUCAAAAAUACUUUACCGUAAUAUUUCUAUAUAAUUCCUAUUUAAUUAUGCUCCACUAAACAGAGAUAUAAGAUAAACUUUCUAUCUUAAAUUAUUAUGUAAAAAUAAGUAUUAAAAAUAUAAUUACUCUAAAUUCUAUUCUAUAUCUUGUGAAGGAACUCGGCAAUUAAUUAUUUCGACUGUUUAACAAAAACAUUGCCCUUUGAAAAUUAAAUAAAGGGUAAUUCCUGCCCAG
RNAcentral lists this ribosomal RNA (642 nucleotides) under Satchellius gatesi. RNAcentral's name for it is "partial 16S ribosomal RNA". Lineage: Eukaryota; Metazoa; Annelida; Clitellata; Crassiclitellata; Lumbricidae. The record is from RNAcentral.